Molecule: ribosomal RNA, 257 nt
Filed under: uncultured bacterium
Lineage: Bacteria
Description: partial 16S ribosomal RNA
Rfam family: Bacterial small subunit ribosomal RNA
Source: RNAcentral
UACGAAGGGUCCAAGCGUUGUUCGGAAUCAUUGGGCGUAAAGCGAGUGCGGGUGGCUCUUUAAGUCAGGAGUGAAAGCCCAGGGCUCAACCCUGGAAGUGCUUUUGAUACUGGAGAGCUUGAAUGUGGCAGAGGGUGCUAGAAUACCUAAAUGUAGUGGUAGAAAUAACGUAGAUAUUAGGUUGGAACACCGGUGGCGAAGGCGGGCACCUGGGCCAACACUGACGCUGAUGAGCGAAAGCCAGGGGAGCAAACGGG